GCCGGUGAUUAUGGCGAAGGUGUUACACCCGAUCCCAUUCCGAACUCGGAAGUUAAGCCCUUCAGCGCCAAUGGUACUUAGUCUUAAGACUUGGAAGAGUAGGUCAUCGCCGGCA
Molecule: ribosomal RNA, 115 nt
Filed under: Candidatus Pelagibacter sp.
Lineage: Bacteria; Pseudomonadati; Pseudomonadota; Alphaproteobacteria; Candidatus Pelagibacterales; Candidatus Pelagibacteraceae
Source: RNAcentral